AGGGUUCGAUUAUGGCUCAGAUUGAACGCUGGCGGCAGGCUUAAGACAUGCAAGUCGAGCGGUAACAGAUCGCUGUGAUCUCUUCGGAGUGAACUUGAUGCUGACGAGCGGCGGACGGGUGAGUAACGCGUAGGAAUCUGCCCAGUAGAGGGGGAUAGCCCGGGGAAACUCGGAUUAAUACCGCAUACGCCCUACGGGGGAAAGGACGGGAUCUUCGGACCGGUCACUAUUGGAUGAGCCUGCGUUGGAUUAGCUAGUUGGUGGGGUAAAGGCCUACCAAGGCGACGAUCCAUAGCUGGUCUGAGAGGAUGAUCAGCCACACUGGAACUGAGACACGGUCCAGACUCCUACGGGAGGCAGCAGUGGGGAACAUUGGACAAUGGGCGCAAGCCUGAUCCAGUCAUGCCGCGUGUGUGAAGAAGGCUCUAGGGUUGUAAAGCACUUUAAGUUGGGAGGAAAGGUUAAAGUUUAAUACGCUUUAGCUGUGACGUUACCUACAGAAGAAGGACCGGCUAACUCCGUGCCAGCAGCCGCGGUAAUACGGAGGGUCCGAGCGUUAAUCGGAAUGACUGGGCGUAAAGCGCGCGUAGGUGGUUAUUUAAGUUGGAUGUGAAAGCCCUGGGCUCAACCUGGGAACUGCAUCCAAAACUGGGUAACUAGAGUACAGUAGAGGGGGGUAGAAUUUCAGGUGUAGCGGUGAAAUGCGUAGAGAUCUGAAGGAAUACCAGUGGCGAAGGCGGCCCCCUGGACUGAUACUGACACUGAGGUGCGAAAGCGUGGGUAGCGAACAGGAUUAGAUACCCUGGUAGUCCACGCCGUAAACGAUGUCUACUAGCCGUUGGGACACUUGAUGUCUUAGUGGCGCAGCUAACGCGAUAAGUAGACCGCCUGGGGAGUACGGCCGCAAGGUUAAAACUCAAAUGAAUUGACGGGGGCCCGCACAAGCGGUGGAGCAUGUGGUUUAAUUCGAUGCAACGCGAAGAACCUUACCUGGUCUUGACAUCCUACGAACUUACCAGAGAUAGUUUGGUGCCUUUGGGAACGUAGUGACAGGUGCUGCAUGGCUGUCGUCAGCUCGUGUUGUGAAAUGUUGGGUUAAGUCCCGUAACGAGCGCAACCCUUAUCCUUAUUUGCCAGCACGUAAUGGUGGGAACUAGGGAGACUGCCGGUGACAAACCGGAGGAAGGUGGGGACGACGUCAAGUCAUCAUGGCCCUUACGACCAGGGCUACACACGUGCUACAAUGGACGGUACAGAGGGUUGCCAAGCCGCGAGGUGGAGCUAAUCCCAUAAAACCGUUCGUAGUCCGGAUUGGAGUCUGCAACUCGACUCCAUGAAGUCGGAAUCGCUAGUAAUCGUGAAUCAGAAUGUCACGGUGAAUACGUUCCCGGGCCUUGUACACACCGCCCGUCACACCAUGGGAGUGGAUUGCACCAGAAGUAGUUAGUCUAACCCGGGAGGACGCUCACCACUUUGUGAUUCAUGACUGGGGUGAAGUCGUAACAAGGUAGCCA
Molecule: ribosomal RNA, 1514 nt
Filed under: uncultured prokaryote
Description: partial 16S ribosomal RNA
Rfam family: Bacterial small subunit ribosomal RNA
Source: RNAcentral